RNAcentral lists this ribosomal RNA (120 nucleotides) under Pteropus vampyrus (large flying fox). The record is from RNAcentral. Lineage: Eukaryota; Metazoa; Chordata; Mammalia; Chiroptera; Pteropodidae.
GUCUAUGGACACGCUACCCUGAACAAGCCCAAUCCCGUCUGAUCUCGGAAGCUAAGCAGGGUCUGGCUCUGGUUAGUACUUGGAUGGGAGACCACCUAGGAAGACCAAGUGCUAUAGGUG